This 405-nucleotide ribosomal RNA is filed under the name uncultured bacterium. RNAcentral describes it as "partial 16S ribosomal RNA". It matches the Rfam family "Bacterial small subunit ribosomal RNA", at positions 28 to 526 of the family's 1533-position model. The record is from RNAcentral.
GAUAACCGCUGGCGGCGUGCCUAAUACAUGCAAGUAGAGCGAAGCGGGGACGGGUGAGUAACACGUCGCUAACCUCCUAUAAGACUGGUAUAACUUCGUGAAACCGGAGCUCAACCGGAUACAUAUAGAUGGCUCCGAGAUGCAUUAGCUAGUUGGUCAGUUAACGGCUUACCAAGGCAAGUAUGCAUAGCCUACCUGAGAGGGUGACUGCGCACUGGGGAACUGGUACACGGUCCAGACUCCUAUGGGAGGCAGCAGUAGGGAAUCUUCCGCAAUGGGCGAAAGCCUUACGGAGCAACGCCGCGUGAGUGAUGAAGGUCUUCGGAUCGUCAAACUCUGUUAGUUGGUAAGUGGUACCUAAUCAGAAAGCCACGGCUAACUACGUGCCAGCCGCCGCGGUAAUAC